GAAUGUAGAAUGGUGGUUUUCAGGGGCUGUAGGGGAGGAGAGAAAGAGGAGUCAUUGUUUAAUGGGUAUAGAAUUUUACUAAGAGAAGAUGAA
Long non-coding RNA from Nomascus leucogenys (northern white-cheeked gibbon), 93 nucleotides. RefSeq lists it as uncharacterized. The transcript is spliced from 3 exons. Lineage: Eukaryota; Metazoa; Chordata; Mammalia; Primates; Hylobatidae. The record is from RefSeq and is a predicted model, not a curated record.